CAUAGUAGUGGUGAAUCAUCGAAUCUUUGAACGCAUCUUGCACUUUUUAGGUCUCCUAAAAGUAUACUUGUUUGAGUAUCAUUAACACAUUAACUCCAAGCUCAGUCUUGGGAAUUGAGACGUCAAGUUAUGCAGCAUGCCUUGCCUUGCUUGCAUCACUUAACUUGUGUCUUUUAAUUGAUAUGCAGAGUGUUUCGGUGGCAACACCGAAAGCCUUUCCAAUCAAAUGUGAGAUAAAUAUCGCACAAAGUAGUUGAAAGGUUAAGCUAUGCUACGCCCAGAAGCAGCACCUAGUGUUGCUUCAACCUUUGAUCUGUGAUCUCAAAUCAAGUAAGACUACCCGCUGAACUUAAGCAUAUCAAUAAGCGGAGG
RNAcentral lists this ribosomal RNA (372 nucleotides) under uncultured Agaricales. RNAcentral's name for it is "eukaryotic LSU rRNA". The stretch from base 317 to 372 matches the Rfam family "Eukaryotic large subunit ribosomal RNA", at positions 1 to 56 of the family's 3401-position model. Lineage: Eukaryota; Fungi; Basidiomycota; Agaricomycetes; Agaricales. The record is from RNAcentral.